Unclassified non-coding RNA from Dipodomys ordii (Ord's kangaroo rat), 127 nucleotides. Ensembl annotates it as predicted gene, 27582. Lineage: Eukaryota; Metazoa; Chordata; Mammalia; Rodentia; Heteromyidae. The record is from Ensembl.
UGGCAGUUAAAGGACAAAACAGCAAUAAGGCUGCCUGCCUUACAUUUUUCCAGUGCCACCAACUGGGCAUUAAGCUGGCUUAACAUUUUGAAAGCCCAGCCCAUUUGGUUCACAGCAGGAUGGCAGG